RNAcentral lists this ribosomal RNA (303 nucleotides) under Paraphysomonas imperforata. RNAcentral's name for it is "partial Bacterial small subunit ribosomal RNA". It matches the Rfam family "Bacterial small subunit ribosomal RNA", at positions 11 to 342 of the family's 1533-position model. The record is from RNAcentral. Lineage: Eukaryota; Chrysophyceae; Chromulinales; Paraphysomonadaceae.
GUUUGAUCCUGGCUCAGAACGAACGCUGGCGGCAGGCCUAACACAUGCAAGUCGAGCGAGAUCUUCGGAUCUAGCGGCGGACGGGUUAGUAACGCGUGGGAACGUACCCUUUUCUAAGGAAUAGCCACUGGAAACGGUGAGUAAUGCCUUAUACGCCCUUCGGGGGAAAGAUUUAUCGGUGAGAGAUCGGCCCGCGUCUGAUUAGGUAGUUGGUGGGGUAAUGGCCUACCAAGUCUACGAUCUAUAGCUGGUUUUAGAGGAUGAUCAGCAACACUGGGACUGAGACACGGCCCAGACUCCUAC